AAUGUCACUAUUGGGUGAAGGAAAGAUUGGCAAUUGUAGUUCUUCUAAUACAGUAGAUCUUCUAAUACAGUACGCGAUUAAAUUGAAACGUUUGUGUGGAAAUUUGAAAUGAACCAAGAAUGCUGUUGCAAUUACGGCGUGUUCUAAAGAUAUGCAUGUGUCAUUCAUAUUUAAUAUGAAAGUGCUGCAUACUAAUGUUUCAAAAUAAAGAAAUUAGAGAGCAACAGCUAACAGCUAUCGAGAUAAAUGGUACAUCAAAAUUCAGUAUGGAAGAUGACUACAAAUGGAAAAUAUCGGGAAACGAAUUUUAGAUUCACACGUUUGUUCUUCAUUAAUAUUCAGUCUAUCACCCACAAAUGUAAUAGAGUCAUUGGCAAACAUUGUAUGAGAGAUAAAAGUAGAAAAGAGAUUAAUUAAAUGCGAAGAUCGUUUUAAAAUCUGAAAAAAUUUCUUAUUAAAUUAAGAUUAAAUGGACCUGUAAAAUUAAAUCUAUAUAUAUAUU
RNAcentral lists this long non-coding RNA (502 nucleotides) under Apis dorsata (giant honeybee). RNAcentral describes it as "uncharacterized LOC116186736, transcript variant X2". Lineage: Eukaryota; Metazoa; Arthropoda; Insecta; Hymenoptera; Apidae. The record is from RNAcentral.